RNAcentral lists this unclassified non-coding RNA (407 nucleotides) under uncultured fungus. RNAcentral describes it as "partial contains small subunit ribosomal RNA, internal transcribed spacer 1, and 5.8S ribosomal RNA". The stretch from base 1 to 73 matches the Rfam family "Eukaryotic small subunit ribosomal RNA", at positions 1759 to 1831 of the family's 1831-position model. Lineage: Eukaryota; Fungi. The record is from RNAcentral.
ACAAACUUGGUCAUUUAGAGGAAGUAAAAGUCGUAACAAGGUAACCGUAGGUGAACCUGCGGUUGGAUCAUUAACAAUGUUCUUAACAAGUUUGAUCUGGAAAUGCUUUAACAGGCUUUUCCAGGUUUUUACUUGCACCAUUUGUGAACCUGUAAUUGUUCUUUGGCGGUUAUAUUCUGGCGAAACUGUUGUAAGCCGUUGGAAUUUGUAAGGAUCUUAUGUUUUCGGACUGGGAUCUUUGCAGGGCCGUCAAAAGGGAGGUUUUUCUUAAUUGAAGGCCUUCCGACCAAUGAAACCAAAUGUUUUGUUUUUUAUUGUCUUUUAGAUCCUUUAUGAGGACGUUAAUUAAUUGAAAUACAACUUUUAACAACGGAUCUCUUGGCUCUUGCAUCGAUGAAGAACGCAGC